AAGCCACAGCUUCCUCGUGAGCCCUGAGCUGCGGGCCGCGGACGCUGACCUCCUACCACCCAACCUCGCUCGAGCUCGCCCACCUGGAGAAGGGCCCCGGCUGUGCCCCGGGGACGCCCCCACGCGGGAAAUACUCACGGCUCCCGCAGGCGCAGGCGGCUGCGCGGGGCGCAUCGUCUCCGGGGGCUCCGGCCUCCUCGAGAGCAGCCGAACGCGGGGCUGGGCUACCUCCUUGCUGUGGGGCAUCAGAUUAUUUUAGCACCAGCGGAAGGAACGGACGGAAACUGAAGUCACAUGGAGAGCGGGCUGCUCGGCGACUCAGCACAGGCUCACUCAGACCCGGCCUCUUAGAGGGAAGCGCGGCGCGGGCGCGGGGGUGGGGCGGGCCGGGGGAGCGGGGCCCGAACACCUGCCGGCCUAGCGGCCGAGCAGCGGGGAUGUUUAGACGAUCUUCCAGCAAUGCGACCGAGGCUCCCCCGGCUUUCUUGCGUUGGUGCCUUGGCAGGGCUGGGGGCGGCCAGCUAGGGGCCCCUUGCCUAUGAGGUCUGCUGACCCAGAAACUUUGCUACGAGCUUCCAGCCAAGGACCAAGCUGAGGCCGACUUUGGGAACGGCAGCACCGUGGUAAAGAGGCACAGCCUGUCGUCUGGCAGGGUCAGCCGCUCAGCCAGUCUGUCUUCUUAUCCACUCAGCCGGUCCUUGUGGAUCAUCUCCUUUACGGACCCUGUGUUAGAAAGAAGGGGAAUUGCUUUGUCGAGGACUGUCAGAGAGUGCCAAGAGCUUCUUGAUCUUAGACUGCGCGGAUGGGUUUUUUUGUACCUGAUGUGUACAAAGUUCCCUGCCAGCUCUUGCCAAGAAUUCAAAGGAGUAAGAAUAAUUGAUCAUAUAGCCAUCAUUGAAGCAGCGCCAGACACUGUGCUAAGAGCUUCAUAUGCAUUACCCCAGCGCUCCUGUUCUCGAGGAACUACUGUCGUCUAGAGAAGGUGAAAUAUUUACAGUGCCUGCUGCGUGUGGAGUGACGUGGACCACCAUAGUCGGGGGCUCAGACAAGGGGCCUCCAGUUCUGAUCUCUCUCACUCCCCUUCAAAUCUGAAACGUUGAACUGUCCUGCAGGAUUGGGUCACCUCUCUUAUAGCCUGUGAUUUGGGAUUGUGUGUAGCAUUGUCCAUCCUAAGAGAACAGGAGCCAAGUCCUUUUCACUCCAAACAUCUGGCACAUUGUCUCUGCUUUCUACAAUAUUCACUCAUGGCCGGGCACAGAGGCUCAGGCUUGUAAUCCUAGCAUUUUGGCAGACCAAGGCAGGUGGACCGCCUGAGUGCAAGACCAGCCUGGGCAACAUACUGAGACUCCAUAUGUACAAAAAAUUUAAAACUUAGCCAGACCUGGUGGCACGCACCUGUAGUCCCAGCUAUUUGGGAGGCUGAGGUGGGAGGAUCACCUGAGCACAGGGAGGUUGAGGCUGCAGUGAGCCAAGAUCACGCCAUUGCACUUCAGCCUGUGUGAUAGAGUGUGACUCCGUCUUUAAAAAAAUAAAAAUAAUUUUAAAAAUAAAAUAUUAUCUCAUAAUGGUAAUAACAAUCACACCAAUGAAAAAG
This 1594-nucleotide long non-coding RNA is filed under the name Homo sapiens (human). RNAcentral's name for it is "non-protein coding lnc-CEP19-1:2". Lineage: Eukaryota; Metazoa; Chordata; Mammalia; Primates; Hominidae. The record is from RNAcentral.